AUUGUAGAAUCGUCCUAGAUAGAGCGUUAGUUGUGACCAAACAAUUUUAUCGCUGAGCGAAGUGGCUGGUUCUAGCAUUCUUGAUCAUUGUUACUAAUACUGGAUCUGUAAAAUAUCAUUUUAUUCAUAAUUGAGGGUUCAUCUGCUUGACAUUGUUAUUCAUCCCAACCGUACGUACCAUCUGAUAAUUAUGAUAGGCCAACAGCCUGUGGGAUGUGAUGUGCCACCUGAAUGCCAUCCAUCUUUACCAUCCUCAGUAGAUAGGUGCUCUGUCUCUGUGAUAAUAUACUUUUUUGGAUAGCAUCAUAGCUUUUCACCUUUGCAGUUUGAAGGCUGGUAUAACUGGUCUUUUUUAUUAGAGAAUAACUUCUACCGGUGCAUCUAUCAAAGAGCUUAAAUCAGUCCCAAUAUACACCUGCCACUUAGCCCACCCACUACACCUAAGAUGCGCCCACACCGCACCAAAUCCAGUUCUCUCUCCCACCCUCGUCUCUCGAAGCCAGUUCUCCCUCCCCUCCCCUCACUCACUCUCGUCUCUCUCUCACGAAGCCAGAGCCCUCCCCUCUCCUCACUCACCCUUGACGCCGUGGGUUCUUCCCUCCCCUCACCCUCGUCUCUCACCGAACCCACGAUUAAAAACACUUACCGGUGAAAAGAUUUGCUCUUUGCAAUUUGUUCAAUGUUUACGAGAAUCUAAAAACAGGUGGCAUAUUCUGUCUGCAAAGUCAAUAAAAAAGCAAGCAAAAGACAAAAGGACAAAGCACCAAAAAAGGAGAAGAAAAAGCUCUCCAUCAAAGUCAAAGUUAGAUGAUCAGAGGUGGUGGUGAAUUAGAUUGCCGGAUUCCUAGGUUUUUACUUGUUUGGUGGACCUGAUUGCGUCUAGUCUUUAACAUUCAACGAACUUUCGGCCAAUUUUAACAAGUUUUGGGUUUUUUCCUUUUUCUCUAUGGCGUAGAGGUGGAACUUUAUCUUCUUCUCUAUUUUUUUCUCUCUCUAAGUUCUGACUUCUGACCAAUCCUAUCCUUGUGUGGUUUAUUGUUGAAGACUUACUACUGGGUUUUUGUUUUUUGUUGUUCCUUGAUCCUGAAUAGCCUCUAAUUCUAUUGCACCUAAUAUUAGCUGAUCGACAAAGAAAUUGUGCAGUUCCUCGGUGGUGGAGAAGGUGAGCUUCAGCUUCCUGUAACAUUUUGGAUGGCUCGACGAUGAACUGGCCGCGUGGAACUGGUGGCGGCAAUACAACUCGUCGGCUAUGAGAGGCAGAGGGAAGGGAAGAACAUUUCCUUUAGCAGUGUAUUUCAUUCUAGGUAGAAAUCACAUGGGCUGAAGUUUAUGGUGUUAAUUUAUGUAAUGCUGAGAUGGCAUCCUUAUAUUGGUUGCUGUUAAAAGGCUGAAAUCAGCCCGUACCGUCCCAAAGCGUUUUUCUUUUUAUUAUCACGAUUACAGAAUAAGCAACUAGGUAUGCUGUUUAAGAAUUGUGACACUAUGGGUACUCCCGAAAAUGAUCUGUUCGUUUGUGUUCUUUUUCAGCAAUUUGCAGAAGAAAUUAGUGUUGGAACUGUGACGAAUGACAAGAGUAUUCUUAAGAAUUCAAUGCACCAUUGGCUAUUGACCCACCUUUUUUUUCCCUUCCUUCUGUUUAGUGAUUAUUGAAUCUCAAUUAUAAAUGUGCACUUGAACGGUCGUUCAGAUGUUGUUUAGAUGUACAUGAGUUUUCACCAAAUAAAUUCCACAUUUAUGUAUAUGUCAAAUGGUCCUGGAUAUGCAUCAGUAUGUGUUUUGAAAAAACUCUAAAUGCAGGCACACUGGGGAAGGCCCCACGGACGACGUCCUACAUGGAGUUGAAAUGCCCUGUUUGGAUUAAAUGAAACGACAAAUCCGAAAGGUGCUACCGCCUCCAUCACUGUCGCCAGCAGCAGCAACACCACCAUCGCCAAACAACCCAGCAACGACACUCAAUGAACCCUCCACAGUUGGAGGAGCAGAUCCACUCAAUGAACCCAGCAACCCGAAGACCGCGUUGAGUCCGAAUGCCUUCCCUCCUUUAACAGAUUGCAAGAUCAUCUAAGGCAUCAAGUCAAUCGUCAUCAAGUGUAGUUGAUGCGCUUGAAAUGGAAUCACCAAGUAGGUGUGGCUUGAAAGCACCAUUAAAGAUCUCCCGCAUGGACAAAAUGUUUGGAAGGAAAUUUUAUGCCUGUCAGAAGUAUAAUACGGUAAUUAAUUGUCAUGUUUUUUUCUUGGUUUUGAAUGCAUGUACAAAGUUGUUAUAUUUGAAACAUGAAAGUCUUGAAUUGUAUGUAAGGAGAAGGAAUAUGUCAAUUCUUCAUAUGGGUAGAUAUACUUCAGUUGGUACGGGAGAAAAUUCUAAUAAGAGAGAAUGAAGUUUGGAAGAGGGAUGAUGCUAUACUGGAUCGCAUCUCUCGCAUAUCUUGUAAUAGUUUUUAGUUGAUUCGGACUAUAGCUGUAUCAUGUUAGUUUAAAUGUAAAUAGAUUGUUCGGAUCGUAACGUAUAUGCUAUAUGCUCUAUGCGAAGAAUUAUGGCAA
Long non-coding RNA from Carya illinoinensis, 2541 nucleotides. RefSeq lists it as uncharacterized. The transcript is spliced from 3 exons. NCBI's taxonomy places the organism in Eukaryota, Viridiplantae, Streptophyta, Magnoliopsida, Fagales, Juglandaceae. The record is from RefSeq and is a predicted model, not a curated record.